Molecule: unclassified non-coding RNA, 162 nt
Filed under: soil metagenome
Description: partial internal transcribed spacer 1
Source: RNAcentral
CAGAGUUGCAAGACUCCCUAAACCAUUGUGAACCUACCCUUCUACCGUUGCUUCGGCGGGCGGGCCCAGCGCCCCCCCCGGCCCCCCGCGGGCGCCCGCCGGAGGAUACCCAAACUCUUGACAUUAGUGGCCUCUCUGAGUAUUCUUUACUGAAUAAGUCCA